ACCUACGGGAGGCAGCAGUAGGGAAUCUUCCACAAUGGGCGAAAGCCUGAUGGAGCAACGCCGCAUGGGUGAAGAAGGUCUUCGGAUCGUAAAACCCUGUUGUUAGAGAAGAAAGUGCGUGAGAGUAACUGUUCACGUUUCGACGGUAUCUAACCAGAAAGCCACGGCUAACUACGUGCCAGCAGCCGCGGUAAUACGUAGGUGGCAAGCGUUAUCCGGAUUUAUUGGGCGUAAAGGGAACGCAGGCGGUCUUUUAAGUCUGAUGUGAAAGCCUUCGGCCUAACCGGAGUAGUGCAUUGGAAACU
RNAcentral lists this ribosomal RNA (305 nucleotides) under uncultured bacterium. RNAcentral's name for it is "bacterial SSU rRNA". It matches the Rfam family "Bacterial small subunit ribosomal RNA", at positions 337 to 634 of the family's 1533-position model. The record is from RNAcentral.